Molecule: RNA transcript, 3617 nt
Organism: Vicia villosa (hairy vetch)
Lineage: Eukaryota; Viridiplantae; Streptophyta; Magnoliopsida; Fabales; Fabaceae
Gene name: kinesin-like protein KIN-14K
Exons: 5
Source: RefSeq, a predicted model, not a curated record
CCAUUAUGCAGAAAUGUGAACACACUUUACUCUCUUCCUUCUCCCUGAAAACCAUAGCGCCACCGAACCAGCUUCUUUCUCUUCCUUCGGCCACCGCACCUCUAAUCGAAGAAAGAAGCUUGUUUUCAUGCUCAUCAACACGUUAGCUUCAACUUGAACCAGUUAGAUUUUUGUUUUUGACAAAGUCACUUCCGGCCACCCUUUCAAUGCCUCCGGCCGCCGCGACUCUAGACGAAGAACAAUGACAUUUUCUGCUCCAUUUAGCUCAUUUUUCAUUUUCAGUCUUCACUCUUUUCCCUCUCUCGCUACUUCUUUGAUACACAACCCUUGUAUUUGUUUUCGCACUCAUAAUGUGUUUGUGAAAAUGCCUCAACCAGAUUAAUUCCCUGAUUUGAUGGAUGCUGCAAACAGAUCAGAAGAUGUGGAGCAAACCCUUGAAAUACAGGUCAAAGCCUUUUUUGACUCUGCUCCUCCUAUCCACAACAGUCAUGAUAUAACUCAAAAAUUGAAUCAAUUCAUUCAACAUAAUUCUUCAUCAUCAGGAAGCACAACAGGACCAGAGUUUGGAUAGUCCUGAUGACUUUUUCAAUGGAAUUGAAAGAAAUGGUCAUUUAGGAUUAUCCGCUCACGGCGAGGUCGAAGCUAAACAUCGAUUGGUUUUGGUUCAAUGGUUAAAUAGUUUUCUUCCUUCGUUGGACUUCUCGACGAAUGUCACGGAUGGUGAGUUAAGAGCGUGUUUAAGCAAUGGUACAGUUUUGUGCCAGAUACUUAACAAACUACGACCCGAUUCCGUGACUAUGGUUAGUGAGUCCGAUCAUUCGCUGCCAUCACAAUCCGAAAACGUUAAAACCUUUCUGAAAGCCUUGGAUGGAUUGGGGUUGCCGCGGUUUGAAAUAUCAGACCUAGAGAAGGUAUAAGAGACCUCACUUUAUACCGAUCUUUUUCGCAUCAUGAUUUUAUGCAUAGCAUUUGUUCAUGUUUCGUUGCCACUGUCUCUUUCGUUGCUUCUGUAAAAGAGAUUGGUUCCUGUUUUCUGUAUUUGAGAAACUUCUUUUGUGAUUCAGGUCUAAAGCAUAUGCAUGUUAAAAUAUUCUCACCAAGGGAUGCCGCCAUGCUCCACUGCACACGUGUUGCCACUUGUCUUUGUUAGCACAUUUCCAUUGCACAUGCUUCUCUGAUAAUUAAGUUGUACCAUGUUGCAUCUAACCCACUCUUUAACUAAAAACACUGAAGGGGAUUGCCACAUUAUUAGGAAAAAAAAUCUUUUUGAUUGUGUUAACUCUAGAUAUAUAACUAGAUGGUAUUCUUACUUUCCCAUAUGGGUCUUUGAAUUUGGCUCAUUUGGAACAAGAUGGGUGCAUAUAAUCACGAUGCUCCCACUUGAGAGGGGUAUGGUAAUAUACAUAGACCAUUUUAGGUUAGUUUGGCCUAUUAGGUCCACAUGUUAGGUUAUAAAUACUGUGUAUGUAUAUUUAUUCUUCUACCUUACUGAUUGGGUGAUGAAUGAAUUACUUUAUUCAGUUUUAUUUUCAACAGAGGUGAUAUAUUGAGGAUUUAAUAUAAAGAAAGGUUUGCAAAUUUAUAAUUACAAACCAAAAGGUGAUGUGAGAGCGAGCAGUGGGGUUCACAUUAUAGAAAGCAAGGGAGCAAGAGAGGAAGUUUUUAAAUUCAAUUUCACACAUAGUUUUUGAUUGGUUUUGAGAAAAUUAUGAUUCUAUUUUUAGUUUGUUGCAGUUAGGGAGCAUACUAUUGUUAUUUUUAGACAAAAAAGGUGUGCAAAAAUAUCACCACUACUAUAGUGAAAGACUGAAAGUGAUCCCAAGUUCCAUAAUGAAUAAAGUAACUAUAAAAAAAACUAGUCAUGCAUACUAAGUAUUGCUGGGGUCUCUUUCAGUAAGUUCUUGUCUUGUUUUCAACUAGAUUAAUUGCUUAAUUUUCCAUAUGCAGCUACUGCUGAAAGGCUUCAGGCUCUCAUUUUAGCUGAGUCUAUGGUUUCCAUAUUAGGAAACAAAGAUAAAAGAUACUAUGAGAAAUACUCUUCUAUAUUGAUGUGACGUGAUAAGAUGUUAUGAAAUAUAUUCUAGAUACUCAACAGUUUCAAUCCAUGCGUUUCUCUCACAUUUUGUGCCAAAUAGCAAGUGAAGUUAGGCAGGGACCUGAGGGGAUGAUACCCAAUCUCUUUUUCCUUUUUUUCCUAUUAUCUAGUGUGAUGGUUAAUUUUAUGCAAGUUUUGGUUAUACCUUUUCCUAUCAGCGUCAACUAUGUAGUAAUCUCUUUUAUAGCCGUCUUGAUUGCUCGAAAUGUGAUUCUCAUCUCACAUCUGAUGCUAGUUGGCACUGUUGGAAACUGCGGGUUUGUUCUUCUGAAUUGGAUAUAAUUUAUUUCUUCAUCACUAAUGCUCUAUAGGGACCCUUCUCGAUGAUGGCACAUUAACAAAGCUGAUACUACAACUUAAUGAAACAAUUGCUGUUGUGCUAGAGUAUUUAGAAGAUGCAAAGGUAAAUCUGAUUAUUAUUUUCUCAAGUACGAUGAUUCACGCAACUCGGCCUUUUGUAAUAAAUGAAUGGAUUCAAACAAAGAUUGAAGGAUAUGAGGUUUCUGGCACUGUUGAGGUGUGUUAAAUUGCACUUUUUAACUGUUGAAUGUGGGAAUUAUAUAUAAACAUAUUACAUGUAUCAUGUUUUGUUUCUAUAGUAAUAUAACAGAAAUAAAUUAUACAAUAUGGUGUAGUGAUUAUGAGAUCUCUGAGUUAGGCAUAGAUGUUUUCCUGCUAUGCAGCAUGUUGGCUGGUGGUCCUGGUCCCCAACAAUUAUACGAGGCGAAGGUCGUGAAGCUGUGCACAUUCCAAACCACAAAUUUACAGUGAAUGUUGUGCGAAACCUCAGUCAAAAAACACAUUGGAGAAUCAAAACUCACCUAGCCAUUAGUCAUUUGGAUGUAAAUAAGAUCAAUAACAUUGUUCCUGACAUGCGGAAAGUAUUAGCCAAAAAUCCUCAAGUUGAGCAGCAGAAGUUGCACAGGAGUGUUUUUGGACAAUAUAAACCCUGAAAAUCAGGCUCUCAUGGUAUGUAUGAACUGGUUAGACCGUUACUGUUUGUUGCAAUCAAUGAUUCUAUGCUAAUUGACUGGGAUCUUAAAUAAAAAUAAUUAUUUAUUCCUCUUUUCUAAAUUUGAUCCAUAAAACAACAGAGGAAAUAUUCUUUCUAUUUAUUAGAUUGAUGUAGCUCUUUCAGAUAAAGACAGAACAUGUAUUUAUUUUAAUAUGCUGCCUAUCUUUGACCGGGGGCUUUCGUGUGCAUUUUUAAUCUGCUGCCUACCUUCUACUGGAGUGCUUUCUGUAUUAUGCUUUCAAUAAUAUAUAUCCCUAGAUUUCAUUAGUCAGCUAUUAACUUCUCUUUGAAACUUUGGCUUUCUUCCACGUGUAAUACUUUAAACUUUUUAAUGUUAAUUCUAUUUGAGGUUACGUUGUAAAUGUCAUGAUUAAAUGCCUAAGGUACUUAAGAAGAUUAACUAAUACUUAAGCCAAGUAGGUAAUUUGUAUAGUUUAGUGUCUAAAGCCAGAGCAUGUUUGAACACUUAAUCCUAGUCAUACAAUUGAGGAGCUUCAAUAAACUUAU